Molecule: ribosomal RNA, 468 nt
Filed under: uncultured bacterium
Lineage: Bacteria
Description: partial 16S ribosomal RNA
Rfam family: Bacterial small subunit ribosomal RNA
Source: RNAcentral
GACGAACGCUGGCGGCGUGCUUAACACAUGCGAGUCGAACGGAAAGGCCCUGCUUUUGUGGGGUGCUCGAGUGGCGAACGGGUGAGUAACACGUGAGUAACCUGCCCUUGACUUUGGGAUAACUUCAGGAAACUGGGGCUAAUACCGGAUAGGAGCUCCUGCUGCAUGGUGGGGGUUGGAAAGUUUCGGCGGUUGGGGAUGGACUCGCGGCUUAUCAGCUUGUUGGUGGGGUAGUGGCUUACCAAGGCUUUGACGGGUAGCCGGCCUGAGAGGGUGACCGGCCACAUUGGGACUGAGAUACGGCCCAGACUCCUACGGGAGGCAGCAGUGGGGAAUAUUGCAAAAUGGGCGGAAGCCUGAUGCAGCAACGCCGCGUGCGGGAUGACGGCCUUCGGGUUGUAAACCGCUUUCGCCUGUGACGAAGCGGGAGUGACGGUAAUGGGUAAAGAAGCACCGGCUAACUACGUG